AAGCCCUUUUAUUAGUGAUUGGG
Molecule: microRNA, 23 nt
Filed under: Sarcophilus harrisii (Tasmanian devil)
Lineage: Eukaryota; Metazoa; Chordata; Mammalia; Dasyuromorphia; Dasyuridae
Description: Sha-Mir-7373-o3_5p* (star (passenger))
Source: RNAcentral